UACGAAGGGGGCUAGCGUUGUUCGGAAUUACUGGGCGUAAAGCGCACGUAGGCGGCUUCUCAAGUCAGGGGUGAAAUCCUGGAGCUCAACUCCAGAACUGCCUUUGAUACUGAGGGGCUCGAGUCCGGGAGAGGUGAGUGGAACUGCGAGUGUAGAGGUGAAAUUCGUAGAUAUUCGCAAGAACACCAGUGGCGAAGGCGGCUCACUGGCCCGGUACUGACGCUGAGGUGCGAAAGCGUGGGGAGCAAACAGG
RNAcentral lists this ribosomal RNA (253 nucleotides) under uncultured bacterium. Its description in RNAcentral is "partial 16S ribosomal RNA". It matches the Rfam family "Bacterial small subunit ribosomal RNA", at positions 524 to 776 of the family's 1533-position model. The record is from RNAcentral.